UACAAAUGUGGUUCGUCUGCCCUAUAAAUAGAUGAACAGUGUCAUACAUAUAGUACCUUUUAAAGGGCCAUAGCUUCAUGUCGCUUAGCCUUCGAAGAACCUUUGUGCAUCCCUUUGUCCAAGAGCCGAAGGUAUGCUUGUAAAUUUAUCUAUUGUAGUGAAAGAUGUAAUAAGAAUGCUAAUACAAAAGGAGAUAAGUUCUCAAACAUUACUGUAUUGUUUCACCGUACAUCCUUUCCAUUACAUUUCUAUCUGAGGUCCUUCGUCCUUCGAAUUAACACUCCAAAGAAGGUGUUAUACUUAGGAAGAAGAUCUUUAUACCUAAUUUGUGUUGCUUUAAUUCUCAACGUCUCUAGGGGAUUGAAAUCAAGUACUCAACACAUACAUAAUAACUGCAACAUAACAACUAGGUAAUAUAGAAACUGUAUGAAACAUAUAUAAUAAGUGUACAAAACAUUCAUAUAUUAUACAAUUUCAUACAAGAAUAAAUUGAAGUUAUGAUCUUCGAUGUUCCAUCAUUGUGGGGGAAGCAUUUUUCAUCCUGCUUUCCCUUGACAUAUGUUGGGGGCUUGUUACUGCGUGUAGUGCGACAAACUGCAGAUGGUUGAGUGCCCGCAGGUGUAACAUGACACUUUUUCUUGUGGGAUUGGAUGGGGGAAUGUGGGGGUCAGCAAAUGAAAUGCGACGUUUGUCUUUUGGUGGAGGCAUACAAUCAUCAUCAGUACUUAUUGUUCCAAUAGGUGUAGCACGCACCUUUUGUUCUAGUUUUUUUUCUUCCACGACAAGCUAGCGCUUUCCUGCAACGACGGAGGUCUUGGGUUUUCUGAGGAUCCACAGGCUGCUUCACCUCUAGCUAUGUGUAUUCAUGCACUCCAGGUGAUUCUGGACUAAAGUUGACUCUAGUUGGACGAGGGAUGUCGACAGAAAAUACUUCCUAGCUUGACUCGAUUGUGAUUCACUUGGCGUUUGGUGGAGGACGGUCUACUGUCUUCAUGAUCUGCAUUUAUUGAACAAUACUUCCACUACAGUUGGGAUAAAAUGAUAUGGAUGCCAUAAUAAUAGGAAAACUAUUUGUUGGGGGCCUUCGGCUUCCGAAGGUCCUCAAAAACAUGAUUUAACAAUGUUUCUGGAGAAUGAUACAUGAACAGGUACCUUCGGAAUUAGGUCAAAACCACAGUCUGAAGAAGCACAAAGAAUACGAAGGAUGGCGCAGAGCCGAAGCUGUUCGCAGGAGAGCUUCGGCGUGAUAGCAGAAAAGGAAACUGACUUAAAGGGGGAAAGACUAUUUAGACCCCAAUGAAUUACUAUAGAGUUAUUAGCAAAUGUAAAGGGCAUGGGUGUAAUUUUACAUGGGCUGCGUCCCGUGCCUAUAAAUAGAUGAACAGUGCUCCCGUACUGUUCACGCUGACUUGGCAUUUGCUUUUGCGUCACAUUUGUACUUUUGUUCUCUUUUAAGCCGAAGGUACACUUGUAAUUUAAUGUCAUUUCUAUUCUAUGUUAAUAAAAUAGAAAUGAGUUAAUAAUAAUAUAUAAAUGUUCCUCAUAUCUUUCGUACAUCAUGCAUUUAACAUUUUCACUAUCAUAUGCCGUAAUGAUGAAGGUAUGUCCUUCAUGACCUUCGUCUGAAAAUCAUUAUCUCUCAAGGGAAAUAAUGCUUCGAAGGACGAAGGACUUUAAUAUUUAACAUUUUCUGUGUUGCCUUGUUCUUAACUGAUAGCAUUUGAGAACAAGUCCCCAACAUUGGCGCCCACCUCUGGUGAACCCUUUUUUGACCACCUUCGGCAAGCAUCGACCUUCGUCAUGCCGCCAAAGAAAGCUUCAGCAACAGGGCCUGCUGCUCUGCAGCCGCUGGACCCAAACCAGGAGACCCUUUCUCUUCGGGAAGCACGAAGCUAGAAGAGGAAUGCCACCAGUCCAACGCCUUAGGAGGAUGAUUUGGACCAAGAAAUUAGGAACAUGGAAAUGCUGCAUCAACAAGUGCAAAGGAAGAAAGAAAAGAUGGCCCGGCUAGCCGACCUAUAAAAGUAGAUAGACGAAGCCUCUAAAGAAGUUCGUCAUCUUACGCAAGAUGAGCAGAACCGGAGGCCCCAGUACAGAGAGCUUCACCAAGAGGGCUUCAUCAACGAGGAUGACUGGUAUGAGGAUUUCCAUCAGGCCCCGUUUGUUUCCUUUCAUUUCGAGGAAUUGGAAUCUUACUAAUGGAAUAAGCUAUUUUUUUAGAAUAUGACAUUCCACCACUUUCCAAAGUUAUCAUAUAAGCCUACCUCAAAUUCAUGGGUUGAGAUAUGGAAAUUGAUUCUAUAGAUUUACAUGUUAUUUUUCCGAUGUACAACUUAUAGCACAUUCUUCUACUUACGCCUCUAUAACAUAAAUGUAGUAUAUAACUAUCUCUCUCAUAUGAUUUAGGAUAAUAUACAAAUAUAUUACAUAUAUAAAUAUAUAAACUUAAUUAGUUUUGUCUAAAUUAUAAUUAUUAAAAUGGAAUUCAAUUCCAACGAAACAAACGGGCCCUCAUGGAAAUUUUGCUUUUGAUGAUGCUUGUCCUCUGUCAGCAGAACUGCAGGCUACACCUUGGCCCCCGUCUUACAAACCACCUCAGCUCCCAAUGUAUGACGGACACUCAGAUCCGAAGCAAUUUCUGAUGAGCUACGAAGCAACCAUAUCUUCAUAUGGUGGCAAUACUGCAGUCAUGGCGAAGUCCUUCGUCAUGGCAGUCAAAAGUGUUGAACAGACCUGGUACUCUUCUCUUCGGCCAGGGACAAUCACAUCGUGGCAAAAGCUGAAGGACGUGCUCAUCACCAGCUUUCAAGGGUUUCAGACGAAACCGGUCACUGCUCAAGCUUUGUUCCAGUGCUCUCAGGAUCAUGAAGAAUACCUUCAGGCGUAUGUCCGAAGGUUCUUACGACUGAGGGCGCAGGCGCCAACAGUGCCUAAUGAAAUUGUUAUCGAGGCCAUGAUUAAGGGGCUUCGGCCAGGACCUACAGCCCAAUAUUUCGCCAGGAAACCCCCUCAGACCCGGGAGAAACUGCUUCAGAAGAUGGAUGAAUAUAUCCGAGCAGAUAAUGACUUUCGGCAAAGGAGGGAGGAAGCUUACAGGUUCUCCGAAAUGACCAGGGGCUUCGGAGGGAGAAUCCACCCUAGGCACGUCAGAUCUAUCCAUUCUACUCAGACUGACGAUAGGGGGAGUCAGCAACAAAGGUCGCAGUAUUCCUCUCAAGCUUCGGGGCAGCAGCAGAACUAUCCUCGGCCUCCAGCUCCAAGGGGCAGAGGCGUCAGGGGCUUCGGAGAAAGGUUUGGGGAUCAGCCCAGGAAAAUUUACUACCUAUUCUGCGGUGAGGACAAGGGACAUACUACCAGGAUGUGCCAUGUCACCAUUCAAAAACAGAAAGAGAUAGCCGAAGCUGCAACACAACAGAGCCAGCCGAAGCAGGUUAUGCAUACUGCUUCGUACACCAUACAUCCCAGAGUAUGUGGGUAACCAUCCUGCAGUUUCUGUUGCUUCGGCAAGCAAACCUCAGGCAUCUUGGCAACAACCCCCACCUCCACCACCAAUGCAACUCGCUUAUCCCCAAGGCCAGCAGCCAGAAGGGAGCCAACAGCCAGAAGGGAGCCAGCACAAUCACCAGCAGAGAGACUUUAGGGAGCAGUCUGAAGCUCGCACAGUCAACAGUACUGUGCCAGAAUCAAAUCACAUCUACUAAGAUGUAUCCUACCUCUGAAACACCUUUUACAUUUGUUAUCAUUUACCUUUUCAAUAAAGAGCAAUCAUUGAGAUCUUAUUUCUUUUGUUGUUUUCAAUUUAUUGUAAUUGCUUUGUCAUUAUCAUAAUGAAUAUACCUUCUUCAAACAUCGACGAAGCUCUAAAGGUCUUGACGAAGGAAUGCAUUGCAAGUUUUUGUUGAAGCAACAAAAGUCGUUCUUAAGGGGACGCAGCGUAAGUUUUCUGCUCAAAAGUCGUUCCAAAGGGAAUGCAGAGCUUACAGCGAAAAAUAAACGCUGAUAUCGUCGAAAUAAAAGGCGAAGAAGCACCUAAGGGAGGCUUACAGCGAAAAAUAAACGCUGAUACCGCCGAAAUAAAAGGCGAAGAAGCUCCUAAGAGAGGCAUACAGCGAAAAAUAAACGCUGAUACCGCCGAAAUAAAAGGCGAAGAAGCUCCUAAGAGAGGCAUACAGCGAAAAAUAAACGCUGAUACCGCCGAAAUAAAAGGCGAAGAAGCUCCUAAGGGAGGCUUAUAGCGAAAAGUCAACGCUGAUACCACCGAAAAAUAAACGGCAAAAAGAUUGUGUGCUCCACUGGGGAAUGUGUGUGGGCCUUCGGCGCAAAUAUCAUUUUUGCAUGUCAUUACAUCAUUACAUCAUAUGCAUAGCAUAGCAUCAUACAUCAUAUUGCAUCAAUGGCACAAGAAGGGGAUGCAAUGUUAACCUUCGGAAAGGAAGACAAUGUUGACUUACAAUAUUGAGCUUCAGAGAUCGUUUCGAAGAAGUGCCAAGGCACAAAACAAGUUUUCAAGGAAUACAACUUCGUCAUUUUAAUAUGAAAAGGAGAUCCAUUGUUCACAAAGCAUAAUAUUUUUUCGGAAACUGUAUAUAUUUACGGAAUAUGGAUAUUCUUCAUGAAGCAUGAAAAGAAGGGAAGGUGUUUUUUCGCCGAAGGCUCAAAAACGGUAUGUACGUAAAGUUUCAUGCAUCGUAAAGAGUUGAAUUGUAAACAGCUUAUAUAUUACAUUCAUAAUUAUAAAAUAUUACACACAUUGUCCAGCAAAACAUUACAUUUCAAAUGUCUUCAAAAUAACAGCUAAUCUUCUCUUAAAACUACUUCGACAGCUUCGUUUAAUAGUUGAUCAACAACUUUAUCCAUAAUAACUUCGACCAUUUUCUAUUCGUCAUCCUCCUUUGCUUUGGGGUUCGCCAAUGGCUCGGCGGGCUCUGGGGGAGGAGAUAGUAAGGCUGUAAUGCAAACCAUAAAUAAGUUCGAAGUCAUAAAAUUAGAACAUAAAGUCAAAAGCUAUUAAUUAAUACCUAUUCGACUCUCAAGAUCCGCACUUUUCUCAGCGGCCUCUGCUACUUUUCUAGCAUCGUGAAUACCUUUUUCACUUUUCCUUAUAAUUUCUUGAGCCAUCUCCCGACCGCCAUUUUCCCAGAUGUCAGUGAAAAUUUUUCCACCAACCAAGCUUGCUUCGGCUGAGGGGUCUUUUAUACCAUCAAUGCAUAAGGCAACCUCGGUCUGUGCCAAGGAUUUCACAUGUUCGCAGCCUCUCCUCUCCAAGAUAGCGGCUAUUCCCCUAGCACCCGAGAAGGCGCAUAUGUCCCCACGGCCACUCAAAAUUUCUUCAAAAGCUUCGGCCUCGCCGUUGAUCCAGUCAAUUGGACCUUCGGGGUCUCCCAGUACGAAGUUGCCUUCAUUCGAAUAUGCGCCGACACUGGCGAAACUAGUCUUAAUUGUUUUCACACAUUUCAUGGAUUUUUCAUAACAUCUUUCUUUUGAAGACCGAAGUUCUGCAGUUGUUUUCUCCCAAUGAUUUUUCCAAUAAUCGCUGGCGUCUCGGUCAGCUUCGGCAAUUGUACACUUUAGUUUCGCUACAGCCAGCUGUUUCUGAAGAUUUUCAAUUUCACACUUCUAGGCUUCAGCUUGGGCCUUGGAAGCAGCUUCGUCUUCUUUUAUUUUACUAAGCAAUGAGUUUAAUAUUUUAUCUUUCUCAAGACCUUCGUUCCUUAGCUCAAUCACUUCGGAACGAAGGUUAUUCAACGCCAUGGUACAUCCCUCGUCUUCAGCGCUUUUCUGCGAUCUGAGGGCAUUGCUAAGAAUAAGGCCCUGUAAAAGGAAUAUGGUAUUAAAAAUAAGCACACAAAUUUUUAAGCAUACAGAAAGUUUAUUUUCUCACCUUUAAGCUGUUGUACGCCAAGCUGUCGGCCAAAUCAUCUUUUGACAACACUGAGAGCCCGUCUUCUAGUGUUGGGAAUCCGAAUCUUCUUGUCAUCUCCCGGCAGACAAAUAUCUCCUUGCUGUCUGGGAGACAGUAUAAGAAGUCUUCUUCUCCGCUGCCAUUGAAAAUCAACGCCCCCUUUGGAUAUUUCAAUUUUUGGGCAUAGAACUGAGCCUCUUGCUUUUCUUUUUCAGUCAACUUUUUCCCCGAAGCAUGUCGUAAAAUAUAAUUGAAAGCUUCGAAAAAUGCUUCGGGGGCGACAGUGCCAGUUUCUUCAGCCAAAAUUUGUUCUGCUACUUCUGUUUCUUUGGUUUCCAAGGAUUUCACAUUGGUGGGCUCUGAAGGACCAGCUUCAGUCUCAGCUUGGUGCUUUGUAGUUUCGGCACUAAAGGCUUCAAUUUGCACUUCGGGGGUUUCGACAAUUUUCUUCGUAGUAGUGCUUGAAGACUUUAUUGUCUCCAGCACAUCCAGAACGUUGACCAUUCUUUUUCUUUUGGGGUCACCGCUGGUCCUUUCUGAGUUUGUGGCGCUCCAACUUCUGCCGAAGGGCUUAAAAUAUCUGAUAUUUUUGUCCCUUCAGCUUUCAGCUCUUCAAUUCUUUCAGCCUUCGGUGUUGCAGUCAGCUCUUCAGUUUUCUGCGCAGGUAUAGGUUUUUUUGGCUUUAGUAGCCGAAGAAGCCUCGCCGACAAACUCGAGCACUAUAGCCGGUUCAAUAAAGCGCGGUCGGUGAGUAAGGACUUUUAUCCUUUUCCUCUUCGGCACAGGCUCGCUUGGAGCAGCUGAAGCAUCGUCUUUCCCGGAAGUUGCCUCUUUUCUCUUUCGCCCCCGUAAAGGGUAGCGGUAGUCAGGGUACACAAACCCAAUAGCAUCAAAAACUCGGUUUAAUCUUUUCUUCUUUCGGCCUCCGAAGGUCGCGGAUAACACAGUAUCUUCUGCCUUUGAGUAUGGCCCAAGCAAUUCAUCGCUUGUAGCUUUAAUACAUUUCAGCCAAUCAUCAUCUGGCUCGACAAAUUUACCCUCGUAUAUGAAGGUGAACUUCAUCCUAAUCAGUCCACCUUCGUCAGGCUUGGUGAUAGUUUCUUUUGGCAUUUCCCACUUUUCUACAAGUGGCCAAACUCUGAAAGCUAUGUGCUCUUGGACUAAAUCCCUCGUUCCGAUGAAAGAGCAGACUACGCCGAAGGCCCUCUGGCAUUCUUCGACUGCUUCGUCAACAAUCACCUUCGGCUUCCUAAGGCCGAAGCGCUGCCAGAUAGGACGCAUGAUAAUAUCUUUGAUGUCUUCUCGUGCCUUUAAAUCAUUUUUUACGUAAAACCAUUCCUUCAUCCAGUCCCCAGGCCAUCUUUUCUGGAAGGUUGGCACGGGACAGCUCGAGCCAGAGCGAGAGACGAAGAUAUAACAGCCAAAAUUGUUAUGAUAUUGCUCUUUGCCCCAGGGCUUUGUCUCAUAUAACAAUUCAUGCAUAUUGCAAAAGCUUUUUGUACUUGGCUCCAAGCCCUGGCUCCUCACGGCCCAGACGAAGAUUCUCAUUCUUAUGAUUGCUUCGGGCGUAAUUUGAUGAAGGAAGACUUGAUAGAUCUUUAAAACAUCAACCACAAAUUUGCUUAAUGGAAACCGAAGCCCAGCUUUAAAAAAGCUUCGGAAGAUCACAACUUCAUUCUCUUCGGGAGUAGGCACAGUCCUUUCUCCGUCAUCAGCCCUUACAGUAGACAUGUCCCGAAAAUAUCUUCCCCUCAUAUUAUCGAGAUGACUCUGUUUAAUAGUUGAUUUUCUAAAAACUGCAUGACUUGGUCGCCAGGGUCGAUCUUCGGAGUCUUCUCCGCCACUUUCCACAUCAUAACUGUCACUAUCACCAGUGUCUUCAGAUAAACCUUCUAAAAUCUCCCUGGUAAUCUUCUCUGUAUUUGUCUUUGCUAUCAAUUCAAUAAAGCCAAGAUUUUUCUCCUCAGAAAGGCUCGACUUCAUUUCAGCAAUAGCUUUUUUGUCUUGAGACAUCUUCGGAAAUGUUGAAAGCGUGCUCUUAAAAGCCGAAGCUAAAGAAAAUCUAAAAAGCCAGGCAAGCGUUGGUGUGCAAAGAACUAAAAAUUAGGAAGGCAAGAGCAGACGACAAUAAAGCGUGCUAAAUGUGCUCGCGGUGCGCUCUUAUUUAUACGCCCAAUACGUUGCAAGUGGCAGGGUCCCGCUUCUCAUUGACUAUUGUUAUUCUAGCAAAGGGAAGGUGUUUUUUCGGACCUUCGGCUUAAGGCCUUCGUCUAUAUCGUAAUCUGAAUUUAUCAUUCUAACAAAUUAAUAUUGCGAGGGGCUACUGUUGGGGGCCUUCGGCUUCCGAAGGUCCUCAAAAACAUGAUUUAACAAUGUUUCUGGAGAAUGAUACAUGAACAGGUACCUUCGGAAUUAGGUUAGAACCACAGUCUGAAGAAGCACAAAGAAUACGAAGGAUGGCGCAGAGCCGAAGCUGUUCGCAGGAGAGCUUCGGCGUGAUAGCAGAAAAGAAAACCGACUUAAAGGGGAAAAGGCUAUUUAGACCCCGAUGAAUUACUAUAGAGUUAUUAGCAAAUGUAAAGGGAUGAGUGUAAUUUUACAUGGGCUGCGUCCCGUGCCUAUAAAUAGAUGAACAGUGCUCACGUACUGUUCACGCUGACUUGACAUUUGCUUUUGCGUCACAUUUGUACUUUUGCUCUCUUUAAAGUCGAAGGUACACUUGUAAUUUAAUGUCAUUUCUAUUCUAUGUUAAUAAAAUAGAAAUGAGUUAAUAAUAAUAUAUAAAUGUUCAUGAUAUCUUUCGUACUUCAUGCAUUUAACAUUUUCACUAUCAUAUGCCGUAAUGAUGAAGGUAUGUCCUUCAUGACCUUCGUCUGAAAAUCAUUAUCUCUCAAGGGAAAUAAUGCUUCGAAGGACGAAUGACUUUAAUAUUUAACAUUUUCUGUGUUACCUUGUUCUUAACUGAUAGCAUUUGAGAACAAGUCCCCAACACUAUCAUUGAUUAGAUACAUUUAUAUUAGACAAAAUGUAUUCUCAAUGCAUAAUAAAAAGGACAUAAAUUUUUUGGUUCAGUGAAUGCAAUUCAAUUGUGCAUGACGUGUUUGUCUCUGACUGCAUGAAUCUAGAAUAAUUCCCAUAACAAAAAUGCUACAAAAAAUCACUUGAACGAGAAAAUUGUGCAUAUCUGAAAUAAAAAAUAGGAAACCCUAUCUUCGCAAUGAAUAGUGUGGAAACCCCAUCAAUUGCUCUAGGUAUAUAUAAACUACAUGAAUGAGUAUAUAUACUGUAAACCCUAACCAUAAACUAUUUUGGAAAAAAUCAAUACCAAGUGUACAAAAUUCACGUAAUUAAUUAGCUGAUAGACUUCAUUAAUCAUAAAACCAAACAUGCAUUGUUACUGUCGACACAAAACAAAAUAUAUGGGUGUUUUCUAGUUUGGGGAAAACUACAUAAUUGAAUGAUAGAUUUGGAUUUGUAUUUUAAUUUACCCAAAAAUACUUACCUGAUACUUAAUGACUAUAGUUUGGCCCAUGGUAUGUACACUACCGAUAAGUAUAUAUAUUGUAAACCUAACCAUAAAAAGUGGGGGAAUUGCAAAACCGAGUGAAAGCAAUUAAUUUGGUUGCUAUUUUUCGUUAAUCAUCAAACCAAACACACAUUGUUACUCCGCCACCCUAAUGAAACAAAAAAAGAGUAUUAAUCUCUAGGGCGGGAUGGGUUUUUCUAAAAAAACAACCGAAUCGAUGAAUAUGGGACUGAUUUGUGUUUCAGAUAGGUUGAAGUUAGGGUUUGGUGAUGGUGGCAAGCUUAGAAUAUAAUGGAGAAAAAAAUACCUUCAAUGCGCGCGGCUCAGUGGGCCUUAUUGCUCGGUGGGGGGUUGGGAUGAAAGGGUCGAUCAGCCUCAACCAGGGCUUCUCAGACGGCCUCCGAUGCUACAAUGCGCGUGGCUUGGAGGUUGAAGACGGUGGCGGAAGUCGAAUCGUCUGUCCGUCUCCUGGUCCAUCACCUGGUCGCAACCGCCUCCGACUGGGGUCGUGGCCUCGUGGGUUUGCAGCGAAUGGAAAGAAGGAAACCGCG
RNAcentral lists this long non-coding RNA (9979 nucleotides) under Zea mays. RNAcentral describes it as "long non-coding RNA (ZMAY_LNC005027)". Lineage: Eukaryota; Viridiplantae; Streptophyta; Magnoliopsida; Poales; Poaceae. The record is from RNAcentral.